UUAAUUCUAGGGGCGUUCCAUCUGGACGUGGGUUCAGCCUGGCUAUGUAGUAUCUCACUGGAACUCCUUCCAGAAAUCAAGGCUCUGUGAUCCAACAGAAGAAGGUAGAGCUGGGCCUGUGCCCCCCACUUCCUUCCUGGGAGACCACAGACAGGAGCCCUCGGAGCCCUUCCUGCUCACCUCCUGACCCCCAGCGCCCUGUCCUGCCACCUCAGGACGAGGAUAGGGCAGAUCGCCAGCGGCUGGCCAUGUCCCGCAACCCCACGCGCUUCCUGGGCCUUGGGGAGAGAAGCUAUCUCAGGGAGUUCCUGUUGACUGAGGGUGGUUUGGGGGCCGGCAGCACACUGACCCCCACAGAAGGUCCACCGGCCACCGAAGACAGAGGAAGGAGCCCUGUGUCCAGGAAGGAGUCGGGCCCUGCGGACACCCUCCUGCGAGCCCCGGGAGACCACAGCAGGCCUCUGACCUCCGGAACUGAAAAAGCAUAAUAAACCUGCUUUGUCAUAGCAGAUGAGGAACCUCAGACCCCUGGUGUCUGACACUGUCCUCAGUCGGUUCCCAGCCUUCUGGAAACGGAUUCCAGCACCGACCUUUCCUUCCAGCGCCUUGACCUCAGCCCCUGACGUGUCAUCCCAAACCUGGGAGCACCAGUGCCCAAAGCCCAGCCUGGCCACAUUCUGGAGGCCUGGGCUUCAUGUCCCAGGUGCUGCAGUGGCAGGUGGUGUGUGUAGAACAUUCAUCGGUUUCAAACACUAAAACCCCCUGAAAUGGUGCGUUCAGAGAUGAUCCACCUCCUCUGUCCCCUUCACACCCUCCCUCCCGCUC
Non-coding RNA from Callorhinus ursinus (northern fur seal), 825 nucleotides. NCBI's taxonomy places the organism in Eukaryota, Metazoa, Chordata, Mammalia, Carnivora, Otariidae. The record is from RefSeq and is a predicted model, not a curated record.